UGUUGUCUACAUCUGAAUACAAAGAAAACUGUCUGUAUGUUGUUCUCCCGACAGCCAACUGCGGGACAGCAACCAUCAGUCAUGGUUGGUGGUGAGAGACUUGAGGUGGUUGAAUAUUUUAAGUACCUUGGGGUCAUCUUCGAUUCUAACCUUAAUUUUAAGCAGCAUGUUAAGAAAGUUAAAAACACAAUUAAAUUUAAUUUAUCAAAUUUCAAGCAUAUAAGACCUUUCCUGACUAUGGAGACAGCAAAGACUUAUAUGCAUGCAAUGAUAUUUACUCACAUCUCGUACUGUUACACAACAUGGUCACAUACAUCUGAGAGCACUUUAAAACCAAUCAAAUCUUUAUUCAAGAGAACGCUUAAAACACUAGACAAAAAAACCUAUAUACUACCAUUAUUGUAACAUUACAAAUAAACACAAAAUCAUGGACUUCGAUAGUUUUCAGCUGUUUUUGGAUGUCUGUCUAAUCUUUAAGGUUCUGAACGGUCUAGCCCCUCCACCAUUACAGAAUUUUAUAAAGAAGAAAUCCUCUACAAUAAAUACACGAGCACUAACUAGAGGUGACUGCGAAAUACAACGCCGCAAGACCAAAUUUGGUCAAAUGGUGGUGUCCAUCAGAGGAACACAGUCCUGGAAUAUAUUACCAACACAUGUUAGAGACUGUGCCACUUACACCACCUUUAAAAAAAACCUUAAACAGUGGUUAGUAGCAAGCCAGACCUGCUCUCAUAUGUAACCUUUGGUCAUUCUAAUUUUUUAACAUGGACUCUUGAUGUGGGGACCUAUUUUGUGUGUAAAAGUGUUUUUUUAAUCUAUUUUGUAUACUGGUAUGUUCAAUUAAGCUAACUCCGGCAUAUUUAUAUUGAUGCUCUGGCUGACAUAUUGAUUAAUGUGCACUGUCCUAAUCAAAUAAAUAAAUAAUAAUAACGGCUCCGUCAUCGACACACGCGCCCAGGUAAGAACACACACACACACACACACCGCGACUCGCCCAGGUUAGACGUUAUGUUUUUAAACAUCUUACUGCUAUAGAAUAGCAGGCCUUUCGCACAAGUGAAGGUGCGUCCACACCAAACGCGAAGGGGCGACAUGACUCCAUACAAAUUCAACGUAGAGACGCAAAUCGGGCAGAUUUUUUGCUAGAAAAAUCCUGCUACAAGAUUUGAUUUGUAGCACCCUGCACCGGCGAGCGCGUUCAUGAGGAUUUGCAAUGCGACACUUUGGCUGUUUCCCGAAGUGAAGGCUGCAGCCUUUCACUCGAGUUGAAAUAUUUGAACUUUGCCGCGACAUUCGUCUAAUGACAGCCAAUCAGCAUUCAACAGCGUGGCCACUGAGUGACAUAACGUAACAGCCAAUCAGCUUUCAACAGAGUGGCCACUGAGGGACGUAAAGUAACAGCCAAUCAGCAUUCAACAGCGUGGCCACUGAGGGACGUAACGUAACAGCCAAUCAGCGUUCAACAGCGUGGCCACUGAGGGACGUAACGUAACAGCCAAUCAGCGUUCAACAGCGUGGCCACUGAGGGACGUAACGUAACAGCCAAUCAGCAUUCAACAGCGUGGCCACUGAGUGACAUAACGUAACAGCCAA
Long non-coding RNA from Gadus macrocephalus (Pacific cod), 1593 nucleotides. RefSeq lists it as uncharacterized. The record is from RefSeq and is a predicted model, not a curated record. The transcript has 2 exons. NCBI's taxonomy places the organism in Eukaryota, Metazoa, Chordata, Actinopteri, Gadiformes, Gadidae.